This 441-nucleotide ribosomal RNA is filed under the name uncultured Desulfobulbus sp. Its description in RNAcentral is "bacterial SSU rRNA". It matches the Rfam family "Bacterial small subunit ribosomal RNA", at positions 948 to 1382 of the family's 1533-position model. The record is from RNAcentral. Lineage: Bacteria; Pseudomonadati; Thermodesulfobacteriota; Desulfobulbia; Desulfobulbales; Desulfobulbaceae.
AAUUCGAUGACAACGCGAAGAACCUUACCUGGUCUUGACAUCCCGGAGACCCUUAGGAAACUAGGGGGUGCUUCCAUCUGGAAGAAUCUGGAGACAGGUGCUGCAUGGCUGUCGUCAGCUCGUGUCGUGAGAUGUUGGGUUAAGUCCCGCAACGAGCGCAACCCUUGCCUUUAGUUGCCAGCAGUUCGGCUGGGCACUCUAAAGGGACUGCCGGUGUUAAACCGGAGGAAGGUGGGGAUGACGUCAAGUCCUCAUGGCCUUUAUGACCAGGGCUACACACGUACUACAAUGGCCGAUACAAAGGGCAGCGACACUGCGAGGUGAAGCCAAUCCCGUAAAAUCGGUCUCAGUCCGGAUUGGAGUCUGCAACUCGACUCCAUGAAGUUGGAAUCGCUAGUAAUCGUGGAUCAGCAUGCCACGGUGAAUACGUUCCCGGGCCUU